RNAcentral lists this transfer RNA (90 nucleotides) under Armillaria ostoyae. It matches the Rfam family "tRNA". From Rfam's summary of the family: Transfer RNA (tRNA) molecules are approximately 80 nucleotides in length. Their secondary structure includes four short double-helical elements and three loops (D, anti-codon, and T loops). Lineage: Eukaryota; Fungi; Basidiomycota; Agaricomycetes; Agaricales; Physalacriaceae. RNAcentral also lists the same sequence under 1 other name. The record is from Rfam by way of RNAcentral.
GGCCGUGUAGCGUAAUGGUUAACGCGCUAGUUUCCGGCGUUGAUCAGAUAGCCAAGCUAGAGAUUCCGAGUUCGAGUCUCGGCAUGGUCG